UUUAGUCCCAGAAGUUUAUAUUUUAAUUCCCAAAAGGUCUCUGCUGUUAAAAUAAUUUAACUAACAGAGUUAAAAGAAUUUAACGGCAGAGACCUUUUGGGAAUUAAAAUGUAAACUUUAGAGACUAA
RNAcentral lists this microRNA precursor (128 nucleotides) under Glycine max (soybean). RNAcentral describes it as "miR10186g stem-loop (gma-MIR10186g)". Lineage: Eukaryota; Viridiplantae; Streptophyta; Magnoliopsida; Fabales; Fabaceae. The record is from miRBase by way of RNAcentral.